CGGGGUGAGUAACGCGUGGAGAACCUGCCGUAUACUGGGGGAUAACACUUAGAAAUAGGUGCUAAUACCGCAUAAGCGCACAGCUUCGCAUGAAGCAGUGUGAAAAACUCCGGUGGUAUACGAUGGAUCCGCGUCUGAUUAGCUGGUUGGCGGGGUAAAGGCCCACCAAGGCGACGAUCAGUAGCCGGCCUGAGAGGGCGGACGGCCACAUUGGGACUGAGACACGGCCCAGACUCCUACGGGAGGCAGCAG
RNAcentral lists this ribosomal RNA (252 nucleotides) under uncultured bacterium. RNAcentral describes it as "partial 16S ribosomal RNA". It matches the Rfam family "Bacterial small subunit ribosomal RNA", at positions 100 to 354 of the family's 1533-position model. The record is from RNAcentral.